GAUGAACGCUGGCGGCGUGCCUAAUACAUGCAAGUCGAGCGAACAUACCAGGAGCUUGCUCCUCUGACGUUAUCGGCGGUCGGGUUAUUAACUCCUCGAUAACCUACCUAUAAGACUGUGAUAACUUUGGGAAACCGGUGCUAAUACCGGAUAAUAUAUUGAACCGCAUUGUUCCAUCGUUAAAGACGGUUUUGCUUUCACUUAUAGCUUACUCCGCGCCGCAUUAGCUAGUUGGUUAGGUAACGGCUUACCAAGGCAACGAUGCGUAGCCGACCUGAGAGGGUGAUCCGCCACAUGGGAAAUGAGACAGGGUCCAGACACCUACGGUAGGAAGCAGUAGAGAAUCUUACGCGAGGGGCGAGAGCCGGACAGAGCAAAGCCGCGGGAGUGAUGAAGGUCUUAGGAUCGGAAAACGCUGUAAGUAGGGAAGAAGAAAUGUGUAAGUAACGAGGAAGGUCAUGACGGUACCUAAACAAAAAGCCACGGCUAACUACGUG
This 497-nucleotide ribosomal RNA is filed under the name uncultured bacterium. RNAcentral's name for it is "partial 16S ribosomal RNA". It matches the Rfam family "Bacterial small subunit ribosomal RNA", at positions 28 to 507 of the family's 1533-position model. The record is from RNAcentral.